This 379-nucleotide ribosomal RNA is filed under the name uncultured eukaryote. RNAcentral describes it as "partial 18S ribosomal RNA". It matches the Rfam family "Eukaryotic small subunit ribosomal RNA", at positions 592 to 976 of the family's 1831-position model. The record is from RNAcentral.
CAAUAGCGUAUAUUUAAGUUGUUGCCGUUAAAAAGCUCGUAGUUGGAUUUCGGAUGGGAUUUGCCGGUCCGUCGUUACGAUGUGCACUGGCCAGUCCUAUCUUGUUGUCGGGGACUAGCUCCUUGGAUUCACUUCCUGGGACUAGGAGCUGACGAGGUUACUUUGAGUAAAUUAGAGUGUUCAAAGCAAGCCUACGCUCUGAAUACAUUAGCAUGGAAUAACACGAUAGGACUCUGGCUUAUCUUGUUGGUCUGUGAGACCAGAGUAAUGAUUAAGAGGGACAGUCGGGGACAUUCGUAUUUCAUUGUCAGAGGUGAAAUUCUUGGAUUUAUGAAAGACGAACUUCUGCGAAAGCAUUUGUCAAGGAUGUUUUCAUUAA